RNAcentral lists this non-coding RNA (154 nucleotides) under Oikopleura dioica. Its description in RNAcentral is "Eukaryotic large subunit ribosomal RNA". It matches the Rfam family "Eukaryotic large subunit ribosomal RNA", at positions 3007 to 3161 of the family's 3401-position model. The record is from Rfam by way of RNAcentral. Lineage: Eukaryota; Metazoa; Chordata; Appendicularia; Copelata; Oikopleuridae.
GUCAUUGCUAUAGUAAUUCUGCUCAGUACGAGAGGAACCGCAGAUUCAGACAUUUGGUAUAUGCGACUCGUUGAUAAGCGAAUGUUGCGAAGCUACCAUCUUUGGGAUUAUGGCUGAACGCCUCUAAGUCAGAAUCCCGCCUAGAAGCGAUGAU